RNAcentral lists this ribosomal RNA (304 nucleotides) under uncultured bacterium. RNAcentral describes it as "partial 16S ribosomal RNA". It matches the Rfam family "Bacterial small subunit ribosomal RNA", at positions 509 to 809 of the family's 1533-position model. The record is from RNAcentral.
CAGCAGUCGCCGCGGUAAUACAGAGGGUGCGAGCGUUAAUCGGAUUUACUGGGCGUAAAGCGUGCGUAGGCGGCUUUUUAAGUCGGAUGUGAAAUCCCUGAGCUUAACUUAGGAAUUGCAUUCGAUACUGGGAAGCUAGAGUAUGGGAGAGGAUGGUAGAAUUCCAGGUGUAGCGGUGAAAUGCGUAGAGAUCUGGAGGAAUACCGAUGGCGAAGGCAGCCAUCUGGCCUAAUACUGACGCUGAGGUACGAAAGCAUGGGGAGCAAACAGGAUUAGAUACCCCGGUAGUCCCUGUCUCUUAUAA